RNAcentral lists this ribosomal RNA (449 nucleotides) under uncultured bacterium. RNAcentral describes it as "partial 16S ribosomal RNA". It matches the Rfam family "Bacterial small subunit ribosomal RNA", at positions 29 to 523 of the family's 1533-position model. The record is from RNAcentral.
AACGAACGCUGGCGGCAGGCUUAACACAUGCAAGUCGAACGCAUCCUUCGGGGUGAGUGGCAGACGGGUGAGUAACGCGUGGGAACGUGCCCUUCAGUUCGGGAUAACCCAGGGAAACUUGGGCUAAUACCGGAUACGUGCGAGAGCAGAAAGAUUUAUCGCUGAAGGAUCGGCCCGCGUCUGAUUAGCUAGUUGGUGGGGUAAUGGCCUACCAAGGCGACGAUCAGUAGCUGGUCUGAGAGGAUGAUCAGCCACAUUGGGACUGAGACACGGCCCAAACUCCUACGGGAGGCAGCAGUGGGGAAUAUUGGACAAUGGGCGCAAGCCUGAUCCAGCCAUGCCGCGUGAGUGAUGAAGGCCUUAGGGUUGUAAAGCUCUUUCGUCCGGGACGAUAAUGACGGUACCGGAAGAAGAAGCCCGGGCUAACUUCGUGCCAGCAGCCGCUGUAA